This 481-nucleotide ribosomal RNA is filed under the name uncultured bacterium. RNAcentral's name for it is "partial 16S ribosomal RNA". It matches the Rfam family "Bacterial small subunit ribosomal RNA", at positions 28 to 523 of the family's 1533-position model. The record is from RNAcentral.
GACGAACGCUGGCGGCGUGCUUAACACAUGCAAGUCGAACGAUGAAGGAGAGCUUGCUCUCCGGAUUAGUGGCGAACGGGUGAGCAACACGUGACUAACCUGCCCCUUUCUCUGGGAUAACGCUCCGAAAGGAGUGCUAAUACCGGAUACGAACUCUGAACACAUGUUCGGAGUUGGAAAGUUUUUCGGAAAGGGAUGGAGUCGCGGCCUAUCAGCUUGUUGGUGAGGUAACGGCUCACCAAGGCGACGACGGGUAGCCGGCCUGAGAGGGCGACCGGCCACACUGGGACUGAGACACGGCCCAGACUCCUACGGGAGGCAGCAGUGGGGAAUAUUGCACAAUGGGCGAAAGCCUGAUGCAGCGAUGCCGCGUGAGGGAUGAAGGUCUUCGGAUUGUAAACCUCUUUCAGUAGGGACGAAGCGAAAGUGACGGUACCUAAAGAAGAAGCACCGGCUAACUACGUGCCAGCCGCCGCGGUAA